AAAGGAAUAGACGGGGGCCCGCACAAGCAGCGGAGCGUGUGGUUUAAUUCGAUGAUACACGAAGAACCUUACCAGGGUUUGACAUACAGGUGGUAGAGAAGCGAAAGUGGAACGACCCUUCGGGGAGCCUGAACAGGUGCUGCAUGGCUGUCGUCAGCUCGUGUCGUGAGAUGUUCGGUUAAGUCCGCUAACGAGCGCAACCCUUGUUGUGUGUUACACGUAUCACACGAGACCGCCGGUAGAAAGCCGGAGGAAGGUAGGGAUGACGUCAAGUCAGCAUGGCCUAUAUAUCCUGGGCUACACACACGCUACAAUGAUCGAUACAAUGGGUAGCCAAGCCGCGAGGCGGAGCCAAUCCUAAAAAGUCGGUCUCAGUUCAGAUUGCAGGCUGCAACUCGCCUGCAUGAAGAUGGAGUUGCUAGUAACCGCAGGUCAGCGAUACUGCGGUGAAUACGUUCCCGGGCCUUGUACACACCGCCCGU
This 482-nucleotide ribosomal RNA is filed under the name uncultured bacterium. RNAcentral describes it as "bacterial SSU rRNA". It matches the Rfam family "Bacterial small subunit ribosomal RNA", at positions 903 to 1397 of the family's 1533-position model. The record is from RNAcentral.